Molecule: ribosomal RNA, 775 nt
Filed under: Bacillus halotolerans
Lineage: Bacteria; Bacillati; Bacillota; Bacilli; Caryophanales; Bacillaceae
Description: bacterial SSU rRNA
Rfam family: Bacterial small subunit ribosomal RNA
Source: RNAcentral
GGGCGUGCCUAAUACAUGCAAGUCGAGCGGACAGAUGGGAGCUUGCUCCCUGAUGUUAGCGGCGGACGGGUGAGUAACACGUGGGUAACCUGCCUGUAAGACUGGGAUAACUCCGGGAAACCGGGGCUAAUACCGGAUGCUUGUUUGAACCGCAUGGUUCAAACAUAAAAGGUGGCUUCGGCUACCACUUACAGAUGGACCCGCGGCGCAUUAGCUAGUUGGUGAGGUAAUGGCUCACCAAGGCAACGAUGCGUAGCCGACCUGAGAGGGUGAUCGGCCACACUGGGACUGAGACACGGCCCAGACUCCUACGGGAGGCAGCAGUAGGGAAUCUUCCGCAAUGGACGAAAGUCUGACGGAGCAACGCCGCGUGAGUGAUGAAGGUUUUCGGAUCGUAAAGCUCUGUUGUUAGGGAAGAACAAGUACCGUUCGAAUAGGGCGGUACCUUGACGGUACCUAACCAGAAAGCCACGGCUAACUACGUGCCAGCAGCCGCGGUAAUACGUAGGUGGCAAGCGUUGUCCGGAAUUAUUGGGCGUAAAGGGCUCGCAGGCGGUUCCUUAAGUCUGAUGUGAAAGCCCCCGGCUCAACCGGGGAGGGUCAUUGGAAACUGGGGAACUUGAGUGCAGAAGAGGAGAGUGGAAUUCCACGUGUGGCGAUGAAAUGCGUAGAGAUGUGGAGGAACACCAGUGGCGAAGGCGACUCUCUGGUCUGUAACUGACGCUGAGGAGCGAAAGCGUGGGGAGCGAACAGGAUUAGAUACCCUGGUAGUCCA